GUCUAUACUGAAACCAUGAUAUUUUAGAUUCUGGUAAAAACAUAAAAGCUGUGCUUAAGUCCUCGAAGAAUAACUGCUGACCUUAUUCACUGGCUGUGUGGACUUUCUGGCAUAGUCAGUCACCAGGUUAGUGACAUGU
Mus caroli (Ryukyu mouse) is the source of this 139-nucleotide small nucleolar RNA. RefSeq annotates it as small nucleolar RNA SNORA3/SNORA45 family. The record is from RefSeq and is a predicted model, not a curated record. NCBI's taxonomy places the organism in Eukaryota, Metazoa, Chordata, Mammalia, Rodentia, Muridae.